Non-coding RNA from Oryza nivara, 194 nucleotides. Lineage: Eukaryota; Viridiplantae; Streptophyta; Magnoliopsida; Poales; Poaceae. The record is from Rfam.
AAAAAAGCAAACUCUGGGUUUUCAUGUCCAACUUUGACUGUCCGUCUUAUAUGAAUUUUUUUUAUAAUUUGUAUUUUUAUUGUUAUUAGAUGAUAAAGCAUGAUUAAUAUUUUAUACGUGACUUGUCUUUUUAAUUUUUUUCAAAUAGGACGGACGGUCAAACGUUGGACACGGAAAUCAGGUCUGUCUUUUUU